AUCAAGGGACCUGCUCCAGAAUCUGCAUUUCAAGCCUUAAUUCAAGUUUUCAGAAUUUUUAAUUUGUAGUUAUGAUUUAAUUUUUGAAAGUUUAGUUUCUUGUAAUGCUGUAACCACUCUAUAAAAGGGCAUUGAAUGUGAAUAAUAAAGAUAAGCAGCAUUUUAUUCAAACUUGUCUUAUGAGAUUAGAGGGUUCUCUCUAAUGAGCCGUCGACUAGUGUUCACAAUGGGUCAAGAAAAAGCCGGAACAUGAAUAAAGGUAAAUCAGUUUCCUCGAAAGAUUUCCAAGUACAACAACCUGUGACAAGAUCCUAACCUGUGACAAGAUCCCAUUCAAGGGCACAUAACAAUUUUAUAUAUACUAACAAAAUGAAGAUGAGGAACAAAAGUUUAACAAACUCUAAAGUUGAGGGACAGUUAGUAAAAAUUAGCCCAGAUUAAAUGGUCUAAGUUGUUAGCAUUUUAUUAACACACAACUGCUGUAGUUGCAGGGAUGCUUGAUUCCUUGUGCCUCCUUUUAUUUACUUUGAUGAACUUUGUUCUUAUAUACAGUGUUAAUGUUGGAUUAUAUGUAUGGUAAAUUUAUGUUGGAUAAAUUAUAUAUAUGAAUUAAUAAAUUUAUUUUCUCUCUGAAAUGAUUCAAGAGAAAUCAGCUGUGCUUUUUAAGCAGGUACAUUGACAUAUUCACAUCAAUUUUUUUUAAUAUAAAACUAUUUACCAACUGAGCAAAUUUGUGAUUUCAAAAUAAGGGAACCUCCAAAACAACAAGAGAAAAAGCAGUAAGAAUAGCAACAAUAUGCAGCAUGAGCCAAUAGGAUAUUACCGUCUGAUCACCAAGCUUUUCAACUGAUGUCUCUAACAGCUCAUCUGGGUCAUAUGAGUUUCCAGUUACAAAAGGGCCAAGUGAAGCAAUUAGUUUAUCGGGGCUUCCAAUGUCUUCAAUUGAAGCAUUAGGUUUAUUGGUCAAACGUAUCAAAGGAGACGCAACAACCUGGACUUUCCCCUGCUUUUCAUCCUCAAACUUUACCUCAACCCAAGGCUCUGCACACUUGGGUUGGCAGUAAUUGCCAGAUAAUAUAUUUGCUACGCGUGUUUGCUUCCAAGUUGGUGGGAGGAUGAACUGGUAGGGCUGCACAUUUCCUGCACGAAGAGCAGGGGUGUCUUUAGGAGUGGCUUUGAAAAGCACAAAGGAAGGAUCUGAUGAGGAAGGCGGGAGGUAGGAUCCAACCUCGACCUCUCUAGCUUCUGAAAUGGCAGUUUCUUUUAUCAGAAUGAGGGGAGACAAUGCGAAUCCUUGCAAAAUUUGUCUCCUGAGAGGUAAAUGGUUUCGGUUUUGGUGCCAUAUUGUGGGUGUUGUUGAGGUUUUGAUGGGAGAUUUUGGAGAUGUGGAGGUUGAGAAAACUGGAGAGAUUGGGGUUAGGGAAGCAGUGGCCAUUUCAGACUUUGAGAGAGAGAUGGGGAUUUUGGGAUGGGACUCUCCCGCUCUUC
Molecule: unclassified non-coding RNA, 1488 nt
Filed under: Hevea brasiliensis (rubber tree)
Lineage: Eukaryota; Viridiplantae; Streptophyta; Magnoliopsida; Malpighiales; Euphorbiaceae
Source: RNAcentral